UUUUUUGAAGAAAUAACAAGUGCCCAGAAUUAAAAUCACAAUCAAGAGUCUAAUGAAAAGAUCAAGUAUUUUAGAAAACUAAAGAGUACCCAGAUGCAAAAUCAAGGUCAAGAAGCUAAAAACACUAUAAAGAUUUGAUAUUUACGAGAUAAAAAAGACCCAGAUGCAAAAUCAAGAUCAAGAGACUCUAAGGACUAUAAAGAUUCAAACUCUUCCAACAAAAAUUAACGUACAGAGGGUUAGAUUAUAGGGUCACGGAGAGCCACAAGACAGACGGCGAGACAGAGAGAGGGAUUGAAGAG
Molecule: long non-coding RNA, 302 nt
Filed under: Populus tremula
Lineage: Eukaryota; Viridiplantae; Streptophyta; Magnoliopsida; Malpighiales; Salicaceae
Description: long non-coding RNA (PTRE_LNC000397)
Source: RNAcentral